Anopheles gambiae (African malaria mosquito) is the source of this 1070-nucleotide long non-coding RNA. RefSeq lists it as uncharacterized. NCBI's taxonomy places the organism in Eukaryota, Metazoa, Arthropoda, Insecta, Diptera, Culicidae. The record is from RefSeq and is a predicted model, not a curated record. The transcript is spliced from 3 exons.
AUAAAACCCGGCGUAAACAGACGACGACGACACGGUUUUUGCGAGGGUUUUAGUGUUUCAUGUGACAUUAUUUACCGUUCCGUCCGAUCGUCUUCCGACGAAGGUGAAUUGUCUUCGUUGCCAUCGAUUUAUUGCUGCGCUGCGAAUGUGAUAAAAAGCUGCUUUUGAUGCUACAGGGUUCCUGCUACACUUCCGAGGAAAAGAAACCGCCCGAAUCUUGCCCGCACUGGAUUAGUCGAGCCGAACCGACCGAUAAGCUUCAGCCAUCACUCGAGCCGCCCAUCCCAGCACGAGCAGCAAUCGUUCACCAAACAUCAUCGUCAUUGUUUUGGUUGUCCGCCGCACACAGAUAGUGCUGGAUUCGCAAGCCUCGCAGCUUCUGCUACACAAAUCAAAACAAUAAACAACGAGGAAACGGAUUCUACCCGCGCGCGCACACGCACACAGUCGCAGCCGUGUUAUCGCCGGUGCGCUAGACGCGAUGGCGGCCACUGACCACACGGCCCUCAGGCCGCACGAUCACGCUUUAUUAGAUGCAUUCACGUUGCUGAUUAGUACAGAACAGUGGCUUCCACCUACCUUACGCUCUCCUGCCGGCUGAAGGCGCUUCCGUGUGUUGAAAUGCGGGCCAGGCUCGGUACAACGGUCAGCGGAAGAUUACUGAUCACGCUGUCGAGCGAGUCCGGCUCCUCCUCGAUCACACCCGGUCGCAUGAAGAUCCGAUUGAGGGGCUUCUUCUCAUCGAGCGUCGGACGUUCGGCAGCCAUGCUUUAACCUGGGACUAACGACAGGACGACGCAAACGAAAAUAUUGGCUAAAGCACCCUUCACGCAAUCGGGCUCAAAUCAUUGGAUUGAUCGGGGUUCGAUCGUGACCCACAACGCGACUAAGAAUAAUGGUCUAGCUUUCUGCCUAUUAUUUAUUUACUAGCUAUCUAUCUUUCAUCGCCCACACAUUUUCACUAUUCCUUCUUCAGCACAGCGCAUCAUACGCACAUUAUUCACUUGUUUGCUGACAUAGACUUAUUUAAAAACACAAAAAUAAAACUGGAAAGUUGGUAAAAGAUAAAA